This 1544-nucleotide long non-coding RNA is filed under the name Calidris pygmaea (Spoon-billed sandpiper). RNAcentral describes it as "lncRNA (ENSCPGG00000015422.1)". The record is from RNAcentral. Lineage: Eukaryota; Metazoa; Chordata; Aves; Charadriiformes; Scolopacidae.
CGCAUCCUGCCAGGUAGGGCUGGGGCUGGUGGGGACAGGACAGCCCCAUACUGGGCUGGGUCAGUGGCUGGUGCUUAGUGGGGGCGGUGGGUAGGAGUGGGUGGAUGCCAGACCUCCCAUGAAGCUGGCGGUGCUGGAGGGGUCUCCAAGCUGGUGCAGGGUGGAGCCGGCUGCCGGUGACGCUGGUGUGGUUUGGCAGGGACUGCUAUCCCCUCUGGGUGGGGAACAUCACCUCCAGGAUCAGCAGGAAGGUGCUGCACAGCUCCUUCAGCCCGUUUGGGGAGAUCCACUCCAUCCGGAUGCUUCCGGAGAGACGUUGCGCCUUCAUCAACUACACGCAGAAGGCGGCAGCGGAAGCAGCCUACGUAGCCAUGCAGGUGAGCUGGAGGUGGCCACCGUGCCACGGAGCCCUGCAGCCCCUCGGGGCCAGAGGAGAGGGGCAGGCAGUGCCGGGUCUGGGACAUGGGGGUGUCUGUCCCGGGCUUGGCCCCCUCCAGCCCUGUCCUCUUUCCUGCCUCGGUGGGGGUGGUGCUGCCAGCUCAACUCCCCCUCUCUCUCCCCGCAGGAUGCCGAGGUGGAGGGAAGCAGGUUGGUGUUGCAGCUGAAGCACCCCUGCCACGCCACCCCGCCCCCACGCUGGCACUCGGAGCCCCGUGGCAAAGUGGGCACCCUCCCUGGGGGGCUCCUGUAGCUAGGGGGUCUCCCCAGCUUAACCGCAGCGCAGCCGGGCCCUGCGUGGUGCCUUCCUGCGCUGCUGGCACGCCACAGAGGAGCUGGGCCCGCUGGAUGGCAGCGGUGGGACAGCGUGGUCCCCUGCCCGGGAGCCGGCACGGUGCCCGCCACGCACAGAGCCCUCCUGGCGUGGAGCCGUGGAGGCAUCGGCCACUGCGGGCAUUUGCCCCCAACCCGAGGAGCCUGCUUGUUCCUGCCUGAGCCUAGGGCCUUCCUGCUCUGCCCCCCUCCCCGAGGGCCUGGAACAUGAGCAGCGGCUCCUGGCCACAUGCUGGGCUUUUGUGCCCAGCAAGGGAAGAGCUGAGGUGCCUUCUACUGGGGUGGGGGGCUGGCAGUGGCACCCCUGCUCCCCCCACCCCCAGCACCAUGGCUCCUGGGGGCUCUGCAGAGGGCUGAGCCUGCCUUCGCCCUGCCUGUGCCUUUUCCUUGGGGGACCUGUCCCCCCUCCUGCCCCCUCUGUGGGCAGGGGUCCCCCCCUCCUGGUGCCUGAAGUGGCUGUGCCUUGUGGGGCUGCCCCUGGCAGGGUGGGCUGUGCUGCUUCCCCCCUGACCGUAGCCCUCCUGUGCGUGCAGGUCUCACCUUCCUAGGGGCACACGUGGGUCCUGCCUGCUUCCAGUCCCGUGGGGCUGGAGGCCAGGGUGGGUCAGUGCCCACCCUGGAGCUCCUUGUGCUGGUGCCAGGGAGAGUGUUCUGCGGGUGGUGGGACAGGGCUGUGCCUGGGGACAGCCCUUACCCUCAGCCCCUUCAGGGAUUUUGUACCCAAUUUGGGUUUUCUUAAUAAAACAGAGCCAGCAGAAGCCGUCUGUCCUUCC